GUAAAUUGCUCCAAGAAAUACAUUUAUAUUAUUUAUCUCUGUAGCCAAAGGUAUAGAAAAUACAUACUAUAGGAUGGUAUAAUCGGAGUUUACGUUUAACAAUUGUUCUGUUGGCGUUAAGAUUUUAUGCUACUGGAUGUCACUUGCUUUCAGCAGCGGACUUUAGUGGCAUAAGCAAGACGAGCGCGCACAGAAUUGUGCAUCGUGUUACUGCUGCCAUUGCCCGCCUUCGACCACGUUUCAUACGAUUCCCUUUACUGGCAAAUGAAAUCAGAAAUGCACAGAUCCGAUUUUUCGAUAUUGCACGAUUUCCAAGAGUUCUCGGGUGCAUGGACUGUACACAUGUGAAAAUCCAAUCAUACGGCGGGGCUGCUGCAGAAUAUUUCUGAAAUCGCAAGGGUUAUUUUUCAAUCAAUGUGCAAGCGAUCUGUAACGCCAAUUUGGAAUUCAUUGAUAUAGUGGGACGGUGGCAAGGAUCAGUACAUGACAGUACAAUAUUCAAUAAUUCCAGGAUUCGUGCCUUGUUUGAAGCUAACACAUUUGGAGCUGCAAUUUUACUCGGUGAUGGCAGGUAUCCGGUUCGCUCCUAUUUAAUGACACUCUGCCAGUGAUUGUUGCAACUGCUGUUUUGCAUAACAUCGCUCGACGAGCUGGUGAUCCAUUACCACCGGACGAUCCAGCAGUAAACAUGCCUGCGCCAUGGGACGAACUAGUGUUACAAGGAGACAUGCCUGCUGUUAAUCACGCACAUGUAAUUAAUCCUGUGCAAAACAUAUUAAUUAACAAGUAAUUUCGCAG
RNAcentral lists this unclassified non-coding RNA (798 nucleotides) under Athalia rosae (coleseed sawfly). RNAcentral's name for it is "misc RNA ENSAEAG00005001959.1". The record is from RNAcentral. Lineage: Eukaryota; Metazoa; Arthropoda; Insecta; Hymenoptera; Athaliidae.